Molecule: ribosomal RNA, 453 nt
Filed under: uncultured bacterium
Lineage: Bacteria
Description: bacterial SSU rRNA
Rfam family: Bacterial small subunit ribosomal RNA
Source: RNAcentral
AACGAACGCUGGCGGCAGGCCUAACACAUGCAAGUCGAGCGAGACCUUCGGGUCUAGCGGCGGACGGGUGAGUAACGCGUGGGAACGUGCCCUUUGGUACGGAAUAGCCCCGGGAAACUGGGAGUAAUACCGUAUAAGCUCUUCGGAGGAAAGAUUUAUCGCCAAAGGAUCGGCCCGCGUUGGAUUAGGUAGUUGGUGGGGUAAUGGCCUACCAAGCCGACGAUCCAUAGCUGGUUUGAGAGGAUGAUCAGCCACACUGGGACUGAGACACGGCCCAGACUCCUACGGGAGGCAGCAGUAAGGAAUAUUGGACAAUGGACGCAAGUCUGAUCCAGCCAUGCCGCGUGAAGGAUGAAGGUCCUCUGGAUUGUAAACUUCUUUUAUCUGGGGCGAAAACCGGUUAUUCUUAACCGCUUGACAGUACCAGAUGAAUAAGCACCGGCUAACUCCGUG